GCUGCCAGUUGCCAACCGGGUGAAGCCGGGCGACUCUGGCGGGACUGCCAUCGACAAGAUGGAGGAAGUGGGGAUGACGUCAAGUCAUCAUGGCCCUUAUGUCCAGGGCGACACACGUGCUACAAUGGCCGGCACAGCGGGAAGCGAGGCAGUGAUGCCGAGCGGAUCCCUUAAAGCCGGUCUCAGUUCGGAUUGAAGUCUGCAACUCGACUUCAUGAAGCUGGAAUCGCUGGUAAUCGCAGAUCAGCCAAGCUGCGGUGAAUACGUUCCCGGGCCUU
Molecule: ribosomal RNA, 278 nt
Filed under: uncultured Synergistaceae bacterium
Lineage: Bacteria; Thermotogati; Synergistota; Synergistia; Synergistales; Synergistaceae
Description: partial 16S ribosomal RNA
Rfam family: Bacterial small subunit ribosomal RNA
Source: RNAcentral